UUCGUUGAUUUGUAGUUUUGCACUUUCCCCCAAAACGAACUUGACGAAACUUUUAAAAUUUUCAAAACAUAACAAAAAAUUUUAUUUUGUUUUAAAUUUUUGCUUAAAGGCUGACUUUCGGCAUUACGACGUACACGCACGACCAAGUAAUUGUUUUGCUUGCGUUUUCAAUGAGAAACUAAACUAUUGUAAGACUCGGUGUUGCAUUUUGACUGUCGCUACCAACCAGCAGGCAUUCCAGUGCAAACGGACAUACGCACAUACGCGUGUAGUAUUUAACCAGGAGGGUUGGACAAGUGCUGCUCGUAGCAGCAGUCGUGAGAGCAGGGAGGAUUGCUAGCAGUUACCAGGAGGUAUUCACGUCUCCCUGUUGUUGUUGCUCAAGUCUGCAACUGAAUGCAUGGCAGGAUACAACAAAUCGUGGUGAGCGAGUGGCGGAGGCAGAGAGAGGCCAUACUGUGUUAGUUGAGUGCACACGUUCAUUGUAAGAGCCAUGGGGCACGGCAAGAACGCAAAAAGCAAUGUGCAUGCAACAUGCUGGCAGAAACAACAACAGUUGUAUGCAACGUACACACACACGCAUAUCUGGUUACGUGCAGACGAAGGAGAAUUCGAAAUGUCAAAUAUGCAAGAUGUAAAAUGCGCGAUACGGUCCAGCAAUCUCCUUCUAGGCACUGAUAAGAUUUUAAUAGACAGCAUUUUCGCCAUGGGAUUUUACUAAUUUUACACCUCUAACCUGCACAUAGCAGAUUUGUAAAAAAAAGCUGAAGCUUAUUGGCUUCAUUCGCAAUAUCUUACAAGACCUCGACAAAAAUCUCCUUCCGUCCAUUCCGCCGAAAUACCUCGUCAGAUGUUUUCAAGAUUUAACCUUUUAUGAGAAGCGAUGACAGGACGUAGAACAAUCUAUUACUCACCAUACUUAGUAACUCAGCAUUUAUCGGAAUAUUGCUUUUUGACCGUGACUUUUCCCGCAAUAAAUUUCCAUAAACAGUUAUAAUAAGCUGUGGAAUUGAUUUCUACGGUCUCAAUUUAACACAACAUUAGUUUUCUUCAUAUAAUAAUAAUGCAAGCAAAGAGUUUUCUUUGUACCAACAAUCGAGCAAACCGAGCCAGAAAUAAAGUCAUAUUCGAAUAGAUCGCUUUCUAGUCCACUUCUUGGAUCGACAAGUUAUCCACCUAAUAACCUGCGAAAACAGAGCUAUCUAUGUUUCUGGGAGUUCAUUGCGUACACACAUCGUUGCAAUACUCUACCAUUCAAUGUUUGCUUCCCUUUUACCUCCUUAGGGUAAAAUUUGGGAAAAUCUUUUCCUAUUUUCACCUUCAAAGCCUGUGGGCUUCCGUCAGUCAUUCGCGUCAAAAUUGGUUUAUAUACUAAUAAGUAUGUAGCUAACUUAUUACUACAUACAUAUAUCGCUGAUAUGCAUGCCCCGUCUCAUCAAUCCCAAUACUUUUUGGGAAAAAUUCACUUUUACCAUCAUCGUCCUACUUCCCCGAUUUUGCUCAGGGAGACUACCAAUUAUUGGAGGAAAUUCAUUUAUAGAUGAACACAUAUGCCGGCAAGGCUGAGGGUACCAAAUGCUGGUUGAGUAAGAAGAUCGGUACUCUACUUGCUUAUGUGGUCACACUGCAUUCCUACACGUUUAGUUUGCCCUUCUCACUUACGGUCUCUCAUUCACUUCAAUACAAAAACGAAAUUGAUGCUGUGAAAAGAGGACGAAGAAAAGAGGAUUCUAUAUCGAUAAAAGUAGGCAGACAAAAAAAAAUUAAUUUUUGUGGCAUUCUUUUGUGAUUGUGUGAUCACAUGUAAUCGCCAGUACGCUACUGGAUACCCAUACUUAAAGGUUAGAUUUAGUAAGAUAUAUAUAUACAUAUAUAUUAAGCAUAUCCUAAAAAUCUAAUUUCCUUUCCUUGUAAAUAAAAUAAUUAAAAAAAAA
Molecule: long non-coding RNA, 1934 nt
Filed under: Ceratitis capitata (Mediterranean fruit fly)
Lineage: Eukaryota; Metazoa; Arthropoda; Insecta; Diptera; Tephritidae
Description: uncharacterized LOC110118967, transcript variant X1
Source: RNAcentral